AACGAACGCUGGCGGCGCGCCUAAUACAUGCAAGUCGAGCGAGAAGGUGUAGCAAUACACUUGUAAAGCGGCGAACGGGUGAGGAAUGCAUGGGUAACCUACCCUCGAGUGGGGAAUAACUAGCCGAAAGGUUAGCUAAUACCGCAUACGUUUCCGGAACUUCGGUUUCGGAAAGAAAGCAAUGCCGUGGGUAUUGCGCUCCUGGAUGGGCUCAUGUCCUAUCAGCUUGUUGGUGAGGUAACGGCUCACCAAGGCUUCGACGGGUAGCUGGUCUGAGAGGACGAUCAGCCACACUGGCACUGCGACACGGGCCAGACUCCUACGGAGGCAGCAGUAAGGAAUAUUGCGCAAUGGACGAAAGUCUGACGCAGCGACGCCGCGUGGGGGAUGAAGGUCUUCGGAUUGUAAACCCUUUCGGGAGGGAAGAUGGAGUGGGUAACCACUUGGACGGUACCUCCAGAAGCAGCCACGGCUAACUUCGUGCCAGCAGCCGCGGUAAU
Molecule: ribosomal RNA, 500 nt
Filed under: uncultured bacterium
Lineage: Bacteria
Description: bacterial SSU rRNA
Rfam family: Bacterial small subunit ribosomal RNA
Source: RNAcentral